AAAGAUCGCAGCCUGCGGCAGUUUCUGCAGGGAACCAUAAAGUCCUGUGCAGGAGCUGCCGAAGGCUGCGAUCUUU
RNAcentral lists this unclassified non-coding RNA (76 nucleotides) under Pseudomonas moraviensis. Lineage: Bacteria; Pseudomonadati; Pseudomonadota; Gammaproteobacteria; Pseudomonadales; Pseudomonadaceae. The record is from RNAcentral.